GCGCCCGUAGCUCAGCUGGAUAGAGCACCAGACUACGAAUCUGGGGGUCAGGAGUUCGAAUCUCUUCGGGCGCG
Hyphomicrobium denitrificans 1NES1 is the source of this 74-nucleotide non-coding RNA. Lineage: Bacteria; Pseudomonadati; Pseudomonadota; Alphaproteobacteria; Hyphomicrobiales; Hyphomicrobiaceae. The record is from Rfam.